GAUGAACGCUGGCGGCGUGCCUAAUACAUGCAAGUCGAGCGAACGGACGAGAAGCUUGCUUCUCUGAUGUUAGCGGCGGACGGGUGAGUAACACGUGGAUAACCUACCUAUAAGACUGGGAUAACUUCGGGAAACCGGAGCUAAUACCGGAUAAUAUUUUGAACCGCAUGGUUCAAAAGUGAAAGACGGUCUUGCUGUCACUUAUAGAUGGAUCCGCGCUGCAUUAGCUAGUUGGUAAGGUAACGGCUUACCAAGGCAACGAUGCAUAGCCGACCUGAGAGGGGGAUCGGCCACACUGGAACUGAGACACGGUCCAGACUCCUACGGGAGGCAGCAGUAGGGAAUCUUCCGCAAUGGGCGAAAGCCUUACGGAGCAACGCCGCGUGAGUGAUGAAGGUCUUCGGAUCGUAAAACUCUGUUAUUAGGGAAGAACAUAUGUGUAAGUAACUGUGCACAUCUUGACGGUACCUAAUCAGAAAGCCACGGCUAACUACGUG
RNAcentral lists this ribosomal RNA (497 nucleotides) under uncultured bacterium. RNAcentral describes it as "partial 16S ribosomal RNA". It matches the Rfam family "Bacterial small subunit ribosomal RNA", at positions 28 to 507 of the family's 1533-position model. The record is from RNAcentral.